AACGAACGCUGGCGGCAUGCCUAACACAUGCAAGUCGAACGAGACCUUCGGGUCUAGUGGCGCACGGGUGCGUCACGCGAGGGAACCUUCCCUUAUGGUCGGAAUAACUCCCCGAAAGGGGUGCUAAUACCGGAUAAUAUCUUCUGACCAAAGAUUUAUCGCCUUUGGAUGGGCCCGCGUGGGAUUCGCUAGUUGGUAGGGUAAAAGCCUACCAAGGCGCCGAUCCAUAGCUGGUCUGAGAGGAUGAUCAGCCACACUGGGACUGAGACACGGCCCAGACUCCUACGGGAGGCAGCAGUGGGGAAUAUUGGACCGUGGGCGAAAGCCUGAUGCAGCUAUGCCGCGUGAGUGAUGAAGGCCUUAGGGUUGUAAAGCUCUUUUACCCGGGAUGAUAAUGACGGUACCGGGAGAAUAAGCUCCGGCUAACUACGUG
RNAcentral lists this ribosomal RNA (433 nucleotides) under uncultured bacterium. RNAcentral's name for it is "partial 16S ribosomal RNA". It matches the Rfam family "Bacterial small subunit ribosomal RNA", at positions 29 to 507 of the family's 1533-position model. The record is from RNAcentral.